ACAUGGCAAUUCAAAAAUAUAACAAUAGCAAAUAUAAUAAACAUAAACAAAACAAAAUAAAAAACAAUAAAAUAAUAAAAACAAUUUAUGAAACACCCACGUAAGCAGUCACGAGCGCCAGUGACCGUUGCAAGCUGACCGGGGUGACGAACGUCACACAAGCCAUCACGGUCGUCACGCAAAUGCACAUGAUGUCCUUAACACCUUCUAU
Molecule: long non-coding RNA, 211 nt
Filed under: Lathyrus oleraceus (garden pea)
Lineage: Eukaryota; Viridiplantae; Streptophyta; Magnoliopsida; Fabales; Fabaceae
Description: Pisum sativum (pea) long non-coding RNA (PSAT_LNC017786)
Source: RNAcentral